CAGUAGCCACGGGAAUACGAGGGGGGCAAGCGUUGUUCGGAAUUAUUGGGCGUAAAGGGUGCGUAGGCGGUUUGAUAAGUCAUCUGUGAAAUCUAUGGGCUCAACCCAUAGUCUGCAGGCGAAACUGUCGGGCUUGAGAGUGGGAGAGGUGAGUGGAAUUUCCGGUGUAGCGGUGAAAUGCGUAGAUAUCGGAAGGAACACCUGUGGCGAAAGCGGCUCACUGGACCAUUUCUGACGCUGAUGCACGAAAGCUAGGGGAGCAAACAGGAUUAGAUACCCCAGUAGUCCCUGUCUCUUAUAC
Molecule: ribosomal RNA, 301 nt
Filed under: uncultured bacterium
Lineage: Bacteria
Description: partial 16S ribosomal RNA
Rfam family: Bacterial small subunit ribosomal RNA
Source: RNAcentral